GUCACAACAAUUGACUGAAGGAAACUAAAGGCUUAAAUACACACGAGGUGAUCAGGGAGAUGAAACUCAGGAACACAGGUGAAAUCUGACUAAUGAGAGAGAGGAAGCAAAACUGAAUGUAGGGAGACAGGGGACUAACAAUAUAAAACAGGAAGGAACACACUGAGACUGAGACAUGACACUGGGACUGGGGAUAAACAGACAUGGAGACAGGACAGACUGGGGACACAAAAGGAUGAAACACAGAGAUGAAGAUGGGAACAGGGAAAAAACAAACCCACAGAAGUUUAGAUAUAUUAACUAAAACAGACCGCAGACGCCCACAGAAAGGGAACAAAGAGACACCAGACAGACAUGAACACGACUGGGGAGACUGGAUGUAAACCAACACAGAGACACUGAAGAAACAAAACAGAGACUAAACUAACAGACUGGACACAAAAGGACAAGAAAUUUAGAACUGGAAAAAUUAAACUCGGAGACAAAAGAGCGUAGCAUAUUCAGGAAGUAGAACCUAAAUGAACUUAUAACUUUCAAAGAAAUAAUGAAACUGAAAAUAUUGGAUCAAUCCUACCAUGACAGAUGUAGGAUAUUUUUUUCAGUGUCACUAUCUAGCUCUGUUCAUUUGCAUGUAUCACAUGUAUUCCUACUUUUUGUGUUUGCGCCUACAGCCUCAGGACACACUAGUACAAAUAUUUUGUUUACACUCUGGAUCAGGGGUUCCCAAUUCCAGUCCUCGAGAGCUACCGUCCUGCAGCUUUUAGAUGCAUCCCUGUUCCGACACACCUGAAUCAAAUGAAUGGCUUGUUAUCAGGCCUUUGCCAAACUUGAUUGCAUGCUGAAGAGGUAAUCAAACCAUUUGAUCUGGUCUGGAUGCAUUGAGUAGACUAUUUCCUUUUCAGUCACCUUUCUCACUCACUAUGUGUUAAUAGACCUCUCUGCAUUGAAUCAUACUAUUAAUCUCUGUCUCUCUUCUACAGCAUGUCUUUUGUCCUGUCUUCCUUCUCUCACCCCAACGGGUCGCAGCAGAUGGCCCCGCCCCUCCCUGAGCCUGGUUCAGCCGCAAGUUUCUUCCUGUUAAAAGGGAGUUUUUCCUUCCCACUGUCACUGCUUGCUCAAUCGGGGGUCAAAUGAUUGUUGGGUUUUUUCUCUGAAUGUAUUAUUGUAGGGUCUACCUUACAAUAUAAAGCGCGUUGUGAUUUGGCGCUAUAUAAAUAAAAAUAAGUUGAAUUGAAUUGGAUGGGAUAACUUUCUCCAAAAUUGAAAGGAUAAACGACGUACUGGACAAUUUCUGAUAAAAUCAAAAAUAAUCAAAUAAUUAAGGCACUAGACAGGUGUACUUAAUCAUGUGGCAAGUGACUAAAUACAGCUUUGUAAUAAAAAAAUAAAAAAUAAAAAAUCGAUGGGAAGCCCCUCAGUGUUGAGCUUUGUGUCAGUGUCACUGCAAAUUUAGUAGGUGAGUUGCAGACGGAUUUUAUAGAAACUGCAGUCAGUUAAAUGAGAUGAAUUAACUCCAAACACUCUGUUUUAGGAAACGACAAAAAACAUUUCAAGAAAAUUUUGAUUUCGAAAUUGAAAAUUCAAGAUAAUAUAAACAAAACAAAACCAAAAAAAACCCAAAAACAAAUAAACGGACACUUAAUUUUUGUCUCUAGUAGAAAACACCUCUCAAAGCAGAGGAGUAUGUGUUUGAAGGAGGGACCACAAAAUUUGAAGUUCCUGGUUUGCAAACAGAGAAGAAAGAGAAGCAGCAUUAAACAUUAAGCCGUCAGAACCUCGAGAUGAAACUCUGUCACAUUUUGCUCUACUCCAUCUUCCUCUACCUGCAGGAUGGAAACACUGGACUUGCCAACGCUGAAACUCCCGUCUAUGAAGGAGUGGAAGGAGGAAACAUCACAGCUGAAUGCCGGAUUUAUUUCUCUGGAAGCACGAUGUCACUCUGCAAGGAAAAAUGUGAAACAGGAAACGUUCUCAUUGAAACAACUGGUUACACAGCUCAGAGCGGCAGAUACAGCAUUAAAUUUGAAAAAAAUUAUUUUUCAUCAAAUAUUGUGUAUGUGAGCAUCACACAGCUACAGAAGUCUGACUCAGGACAGUACAUGUGUACUUUGGGUUCAAAAUCAGACAAUUUUAACAUUGUUGUCACAGAAGGUGAGUCUCUGCUAAAAAAUCUUAUUCAUGUCCGUAAAGAUGUGAAAUUCUCACUGACCACACCCACUUUUCUUUCAAAUAACCUACAUGUGUCAUAUUUACACUACAAGUUUAGUUUAAUGAGUUGCUGUAAACACACAUUAACCCCUAUUACUCACAUGCAGACAGAAAACCUGCUUCAAGCAGGAUUGUUAUUCUGAUUUUUCUUUGUUCACAGCUUCAGAUACUUCAACACCAAAUCAGCCUUUAUCAACAUCAACAUUUCUCCUGUCGGCCUCCACAACAACAACAACACAGCAUUUGAACUUCAGUUCAAGAAGCUUCACAUCUUUAGCCUUCUCUGAAGUCUCCAGACAGCCUCAAACAGCUACAGGUUUGUCCUUGGAGCUGGUUAUACGUUUAUCUGUGGUGGUGGUUCUGCUGCCUGUUGUUCUGCUGCUCAUCUACAGAAUCACGGCCGAGGGCUCUAACGGUUUGAACAGCAGGAGACACUCAGCACAUGACCACACUGAGAUUGGUCUCAGUGAAAUCGAUCGUCCAGUGUCCUCAUGUGAAGACUCGACCUACCAAAGUCUCAAUACAGCGAGCAGAGAUCACGACCAAACCUACUCUACACUCAGACACAAUAACCAGUUUUCAGACAUGAACUCCUGUCAAACUGAAUGACUGCAUGAGCAUACCAGUCAUUUUCCCAUUAAACCAAGUUACCAGGGUCAGUGAUGAAGAUUUCAUCAUCAAAGAGGAGUAAAAGCAGGAACGAGAUUAUGGACCUCUUAGAAUCCACAUGUCAAUCUCAUCCAUGUCAUCUUCUCCCAUUACUUCAUGGGAGAAGAUGACAAACCAGUAUCAAACCAGUAUCACAACCAAACAUGUAAUAGACACGCCGCCCUCAGGCCCUCCCAGGUGUGGGGGCCUAAAUUCAAUUCAAUUCAAUUCAGUUUUAUUUAUAUAGCGCCAAAUCACAACAAAAGUCGCCUCAAGGCGCUUCACCACACUCCCUGCCGGGUGGCUGAUGCUCUCGGACGUUGGUGUGCUCUCAGUCAUGCGUGCUACACAAUAACAUUCAAUAUUUAGUAUUUAGAGUUACCUACAGUUAUCCAAGUUAUUGCUGUGAUGUCGUGUUUAUUGUGUUGCUCUCUUUUUGCUUGUUUUCCUUUUUUUGUUCUCUCUCAACAGGUGAUCCAGCAGAUUUAUUUUUUGAUUUUUUUUUAGUGUCUUCUCUCACUGUCCCUCUUCUCCCCUGUUUUUCUUUCCCUCCCUUUCUUUCUAUCUCAUUUUCCUACUCCCAAGUCUGUCUGUCCUGUCUGUAAUAACUUAAAAUAAAAUAAAAUAAAUACAUUAAAUAGAAAGUAAUAGACACGCCGCUCCACUGGGUCCAUUUCGCGCUUUGCCUCUCCAAAACAUGAAAUGUACAAGCAUGCAGAAGUUGCAGUAACAGCAGAGGGAAAUUUUGUUUGAAGCCAACAUGAAAAUAAUCACGUGAAACCCUUUAAACAGACGCUAUUAACAUAUUUACAUGUAUAUGCAUAUUAGCCGCCUAGCUUAACUUCUUUCUGAUGAUUAAGGACGAAUGUACUUCAUGCGUUUGUCCUCGCUACCAACUUCGUGUCUUUACAUAUAUUACUCCCCCUGCUGGUAAUGCAACUUCUGCAUGCGUGUCCAUUUCACAUUUUGAAGAGGCAAAGCGUGAAAUAGACACAGUGGAUUACACAUUUUACCAUGAUAUCGGCUUGAUCCUUUAGCCACAGUGUAAAUAAAUGACGUACAUGGAUGUUCAGUCUGCCCAAGUCAUCUAUUAGAAGGUCUGUUUUUUAUUUAAAAUAAAAGUCAUUUCAAAGUUUCUACCUUUUUGGAAUCACUCGUCUCGUAACUCCAAACGCUCAGUUUUAGGAAACAACAAAAAAACAAAGAAAUUUUGAUUUCGAAAUUGAAAAUUCAAGAAAAUAUAAACAAAACAAAAAACAAAAACAAAUAAACGGACACUUAAUUUUUGUCUCUAGUAGAAAACACCUCUCAAAGCAGAGGAGUGUGUGUUUGAAGGAGGGACCACGAAAUUUGAAGUUCCUGGUUUGCAAACAGAGAAGGAAGUGAAGCAGCAUUAAACAUUAAGCCGUCAGAACCUCGAGAUGAAACUCUGUCACAUUUUGCUCUGCUCCAUCUUCCUCUACCUGCAGGAUGGAAACACUGGACUUGCCAACGCUGAAACUCCCGUCUAUGAAGGAGUGGAAGGAGGAAACAUCACAGCUGAAUGCCGGAUUUAUUUCUCUGGAAGCACGAUGUCACUCUGCAAGGAAAAAUGUGAAACAGGAAACGUUCUCAUUGAAACAACUGGUUACACAGCUCAGAGCGGCAGAUACAGCAUUAAAUUUGAAAAAAAUUAUUUUUCAUCAAAUAUUGUGUAUGUGAACAUCACACAGCUACAGAAGUCUGACUCGGGACAGUACAUGUGUACUUUGGGUUCAAAUUCAGACAAUUUUAACAUUGUUGUCACAGAAGCUUCAGAUACUUCAACACCAAAUCAGCCUUUAUCAACAUCAACAUUUCUCCUGUCGGCCUCCACAACAACAACAACACAGCAUUUGAACUUCAGUUCAAGAAGCUUCACAGCUUCAUCAACCUCCUCUGAAGUCUCCAGACAGCCUCAAACAGCUGCAGGUUCAGAUAAGCUGCUUCAUGUGAUUCUGAUUCUGGUCGCUAUGAUCACCAUCUUAUCAGCAGCUUUGCUGAUUUUCUACAAGCACAGGAAGAAUAAACCAAAAGGACCUCCUGUGAAAACUGAACAUGCUGACAUCACACAGGCCAACUGGCUUUAUGGAAACAUCACAGAGGAUGAAACUCAGAACAGUGUAAUUCCUGUGCGGGUGUCUUCAGUUCAUGACUACCCCGAAGGCUCGCAACCAGAUGGAGUUGAAAACCAAGAGCAUUACAGCCUCGUCACCGCUCCUCAGAACACGGUAAAUAAAAUCAUGGUUUGAUUUUAAACUCUGAGGUCAGAAACAAUGACCGGUGCAGCAUUUUGGGCAGUAAACUAAUUCACUAGUUGUCUGGAUGAAUCAAGCUGACAUAGCAACAGGCCACUUUCUGAAGCUUGUAUUGAAAAGGGUUCAUUACUCGAAGGUUUUCGACACAGUGCUCUUUGGUGACAUCUGGUGGCCAAAAAUAUGAAGCGCAGAGCAAUUUAAUAUGAACUGCUUCAUUGUGAUUACCCGCUCGACCUGAGCUAACAGCUUCUGUUUAAUAUUAUGUGACAAUUCUGUGUGAUAUCGGACUAUCGCUGUGGUGCUUUGAACAUGUACUUUUGAAGGAUGAAAAAGAAAUGUUAUGUCUAUUUGAUUAAUAAAUAAUUUUAAUGAAUAAAUAUGUGACAUGAUGUGUUCUCCCUUUGCUUUUGACUUCUUGACAUUUGUAGACAUAAUAGAUAAAAAAUAAAAUACAUUAUAUAUAAUAAUGUGCUACUACAGGUGGGAAGUAACUAAGUAGAAAUACUGUUUUAACUUGAUAAAAAAAAAAAAAAAAGGUCCAGCUGCUGUAUCUCACAGGGAGAGAAACAAAAGAGAGCUAACUUCACUCAGAGAUGGAGAAAAAUAAGAAAGACAGGACAGGUGAGGAAGAAGAGAGGUUAGAUUUAAAGGUAAGGACUCCUCAUUUAAAGCUUACAUGUAAGUCCUCAUGUUUUAAAAUCAGAUGCUGGGUCUGUAUACAUGUGACAGUAUGAUUUUUUUCAUAUUAAGAAACAUGCUGCUAAACGAACUGAGGUAGAUUAACUGUGUUGUUUAAAGGCUGCAGUAAAAUCCUCUGUAGGUUAGUGCAGGAUCUGUACUGUGAUGGACUUAAAGUAAAAAACAGUGUGUGACUGUUGCACAGUGGCUGUGGUUUCACAUCAAAUUUAGCAGAGAUGAAUCUGAAGUUAAGCUCAUGAUGCUGAGAUUCAUUCACUGAAUUCCACCUUCAUACCGACUAUAUACCAUCUAGAAAAACAGACAGCAUAAACAGUGUAGAGGAUGGAAACCAGCCAGGACAACUCGUGAAAUAUCCCUUGACAUCUGUUUGAAUUAAGUUGUGUACAUUCACAAAGAGCAGCAGGUCAGCUGAUCACAGCCUGUACACUAAGAAAAUCUACUGAAGCUCUAAAUAGCAAUUAUUGUAAGUUAUGAUUAAUUUCCUCACACUGAGCCAUUACAACCAGUUUUAGGGUUCCCCACCUGCUAAAUCUCACUUUAACCCAGUGGUUCUCAGACUUCUUACAUCAUUCCCCACAUGGCAGGAAGAAAUAUUUUCACGCCCCAUCUAAACAAAACAAUGACAGACAAGCCUAGCUGCAACUUUAUUUAGAUAAUAAAGUCAUUCAAAAUGAAUCCUUCAGUAAUUUUUCAGUUUUAAACAAACAACUUUCAUUUCAAAUAACUAUUUGUAACUUUUGUCACAAGACUGCUUCAUUAGUCUGCACCACUUCUUCAAAAAAGCAACAAGUUCAACAAAAUGUGAACAUUUCCAAACAUGGAAAAAUAAAGUUCAGUCUUUGUCUUAUAAAAAAGAAAUCCAGAAACUUGUGAACAGAGAUGAAAAAUACAUAAUUUAGUGAGAGAUUAAU
Molecule: long non-coding RNA, 6742 nt
Organism: Oreochromis aureus
Lineage: Eukaryota; Metazoa; Chordata; Actinopteri; Cichliformes; Cichlidae
Source: Ensembl